GACGUUGAAGACGACGACGUUGAUAGGCCGGGUGUGUAAGCGCAGCGAUGCGUUGAGCUAACCGGUACUAAUGACCCGUGAGGCUUAACCUUACAACGCCAGAGGCGUUUUG
RNAcentral lists this ribosomal RNA (112 nucleotides) under Pantoea latae. Its description in RNAcentral is "partial 23S ribosomal RNA". The stretch from base 1 to 92 matches the Rfam family "Bacterial large subunit ribosomal RNA", at positions 2834 to 2925 of the family's 2925-position model. The record is from RNAcentral. RNAcentral also lists the same sequence under 1 other name. Lineage: Bacteria; Pseudomonadati; Pseudomonadota; Gammaproteobacteria; Enterobacterales; Erwiniaceae.